AUGUUGAAAUAUAUUGAAACAAAUAAUACCAAACCAAAUGAAUCAAAAACAAACAAAACACAAAUAGUACAAACAUCAAAUUCAUUAAUCCACAACAUCAAAUUAUUACAUAGUUUAGUAAUCCAUAACAUAAAAUUCAAUGCAAAUUGUUCAUCACAAGUGGCAACAAACACAGAGAUAAAACUAUUGGUCUUGUUGCCCACGGCAUGCUCACCACUCCUCGAUGAUAUAUUUUUGAAGAUCUUCGUGUGUAUCGGAAUCUCGAAUGUCAAGCUACACCUCAAGAAAGUGUCGGCUUCGCUCUUCCCAUUCUACAUGUCUGCAUCGGUUGUCUCAUGAGCUCAUAGAAGGCGUAAUCCAAAUAUUUGCCACACACUCAUUCUCAAUGAUCAUGUUGUGCAUGAUCAAGCCGGCUGUGAUGAUGUACCAAAGGAUAUCUUGAUACCAAAACCUAGUCGGUCCUCGCACAAUAGAAAAUUGGGCUUGCAAAAACUCAAAAGCCCUCUCCACAUCUUUCUUAGCAGCCGCUUGAGCAUUAUGGAAGUAGAGUUCUUUAUUACCUUGGGGGCUUGAAAUUGGUUUCGCAAAAGUAGCCCACUUCGGAUAUAUCCCAUCUGCAAGGUAGUAGCCCAUGUUGU
This 638-nucleotide ribosomal RNA is filed under the name Triticum aestivum (bread wheat). Its description in RNAcentral is "partial small subunit ribosomal RNA". The record is from RNAcentral. Lineage: Eukaryota; Viridiplantae; Streptophyta; Magnoliopsida; Poales; Poaceae.